UAGAAGUUUGAUUAUGGCUCCAGGAUGAACGCUGAGGGCGUGCCCUAAUACAUGCAAGUCGAGCGGACCAGACGAGAAGCUUUCUCCUCUGACGUUAGCGGCGGACCGGGUGAGUAACACGUGGAUAACCUACCUAAAAGACUGGGAUAAACUUCGGGAAACCGGAGCUAAUACCCGGAUAAUAUAUUGAACCGCAUGGUUCAAUAGUGAAAGACGGGUUUUGCUGUCACUUAUAGAUGGAUCCGCGCCGCAAUAAGCUAGUUGGUAAGGUAACGGCUUACCAAGGCAACGAUGCGUAGCCGACCUGAGAGGGUGAUCGGCCACACUGGAACUGAGACACGGUCCAGACUCCUACGGGAGGCAGCAGUAGGGAAUCUUCCGCAAUGGGCGAAAGCCUGACGGAGCAACGCCGCGUGAGUGAUGAAGGUCUUCGGAUCGUAAAACUCUGUUAUUAGGGAAGAACAAAUGUGUAAGUAACUAUGCACGUCUUGACGGUACCUAAUCAGAAAGCCACGGCUAACUACGUGCCAGCAGCCGCGGUAAUACGUAGGUGGCAAGCGUUAUCCGGAAUUAUUGGGCGUAAAGCGCGCGUAGGCGGUUUUUUAAGUCUGAUGUGAAAGCCCACGGCUCAACCGUGGAGGGUCAUUGGAAACUGGAAAACUUGAGUGCAGAAGAGGAAAGUGGAAUUCCAUGUGUAGCGGUGAAAUGCGCAGAGAUAUGGAGGAACACCAGUGGCGAAGGCGACUUUCUGGUCUGUAACUGACGCUGAUGUGCGAAAGCGUGGGGAUCAAACAGGAUUAGAUACCCUGGUAGUCCACGCCGUAAACGAUGAGUGCUAAGUGUUAGGGGGUUUCCGCCCCUUAGUGCUGCAGCUAACGCAUUAAGCACUCCGCCUGGGGAGUACGACCGCAAGGUUAAAACUCAAAUGAAUUGACGGGG
RNAcentral lists this ribosomal RNA (939 nucleotides) under uncultured Staphylococcus sp. RNAcentral's name for it is "bacterial SSU rRNA". It matches the Rfam family "Bacterial small subunit ribosomal RNA", at positions 1 to 918 of the family's 1533-position model. Lineage: Bacteria; Bacillati; Bacillota; Bacilli; Caryophanales; Staphylococcaceae. The record is from RNAcentral.